GUUACCCCCAUCAGCCAGGAGCUCAUCUUCUCACAGACUGGACUACUUAGGAGGGAGCGCACGGUUAAUGUAGAAAUUAAUCUGGGGUCGUGAUGAAGCAGAAGGGAGCUGCUGCACGUUUGAAUGCAUCUUCUCUCCUUGUUUCUUUGCAUAAAUAUCAUCCUGGCAAUAUCUCAGUUGUGGUUCACACACUGUGGCAUGGACAACUGCCAGCAUCACCAGCACCAUCUUUGCAGAUGGGGAAAAACAGACAAAAUCAUACUGGAGUUACACAGUGCCACUCAGCAAGGCCAUGGGAGGUGGAGAAGUAGAAAGACAUCUUUGCUUUGCUAUGACCAGGUGGAAGAGAGCUGAAGUAAAUUCAUUCUGAGCAGAAUAAAAUCAGAAUGGUUGGA
Cyanistes caeruleus (blue tit) is the source of this 395-nucleotide long non-coding RNA. RefSeq lists it as uncharacterized. The record is from RefSeq and is a predicted model, not a curated record. Lineage: Eukaryota; Metazoa; Chordata; Aves; Passeriformes; Paridae.